Molecule: ribosomal RNA, 500 nt
Filed under: Paenibacillus favisporus
Lineage: Bacteria; Bacillati; Bacillota; Bacilli; Caryophanales; Paenibacillaceae
Description: bacterial SSU rRNA
Rfam family: Bacterial small subunit ribosomal RNA
Source: RNAcentral
GGACGAACGCUGGCGGCGUGCCUAAUACAUGCAAGUCGAGCGGACUUGAUGGAGAGCUUGCUCUCCUGAUGGUUAGCGGCGGACGGGUGAGUAACACGUAGGCAACCUGCCUGCAAGACCGGGAUAACCCACGGAAACGUGAGCUAAUACCGGAUAUCUCAUUUCCUCUCCUGAGGGRAUGAUGAAAGACGGAGCAAUCUGUCACUUGCGGAUGGGCCUGCGGCGCAUUAGCUAGUUGGUGAGGUAACGGCUCACCAAGGCGACGAUGCGUAGCCGACCUGAGAGGGUGAACGGCCACACUGGGACUGAGACACGGCCCAGACUCCUACGGGAGGCAGCAGUAGGGAAUCUUCCGCAAUGGGCGAAAGCCUGACGGAGCAACGCCGCGUGAGUGAUGAAGGUUUUCGGAUCGUAAAGCUCUGUUGCCAGGGAAGAACGUCCGRUAGAGUAACUGCUAUCGGAGUGACGGUACCUGAGAAGAAAGCCCCGGCUAACUACGU